CCUACGGGGGGCAGCAGUGGGGAAUAUUGGGCAAUGGGCGCAAGCCUGACCCAGCAACGCCGCGUGUAGGAAGAAGGCCCUCGGGUUGUAAACUACUUUUAUUCGGGACGAAACAAAUGACGGUACCGAAUGUAUAAGCUACGGCUACCUACGUGCCAGAAGCCGCGGUAAUACGUAGGUGGCAAGCGUUAUCCGGAUUUACUGGGGGUAAAGGGCGUGUUGGCGGGGGGUCAAGUCAGACGUGAAAUUCCAGGGCUUAACCCGGGAACUGCGUUUGAUACUGUUCUUCUUGAGUGAUGGAGAGGCAGGCAGAAUUCCGGGUGUAGCGGUGAAAUGCGUAGAGAUACGGAGGAACACCAGUGGCGAAGGCGGCCUGCUGGACAUUAACUGACGCUGAGGCGCGAAAGCGUGGGGAGCAAACAGGAUUAGAUACCCGUGUAGUC
RNAcentral lists this ribosomal RNA (443 nucleotides) under uncultured bacterium. RNAcentral describes it as "partial 16S ribosomal RNA". It matches the Rfam family "Bacterial small subunit ribosomal RNA", at positions 338 to 795 of the family's 1533-position model. The record is from RNAcentral.